This 543-nucleotide ribosomal RNA is filed under the name Triticum aestivum (bread wheat). RNAcentral describes it as "partial small subunit ribosomal RNA". Lineage: Eukaryota; Viridiplantae; Streptophyta; Magnoliopsida; Poales; Poaceae. The record is from RNAcentral.
AUGAAUUGCUUGGCCUGGAACUGUCGGGGACUCGGGUUGGACUCGACAGUUGGCGAAUUACGGGACCUGAUACGGUCAUACAACCCAGCGGUGGUUUUUUUGUCGGAAACUAAGAAGAGUGCUAAAGCUAUGGAGAAACUUAAGUGGAGUUUGGGGUUUCGCAAUGGUGUGGCUGUGGAUUGUAAGGGGAGAAGUGGUGGGCUUGCACUAUGGUGGAGAGAGCAUAUUCAGGUCACAGUUAGGCCAUGGUGCCAGUACUACAUUGAUGCCGAGGUUUGUGCGGAUGGGCACACCUGGAGAUUCACUGGAAUCUAUGGGGAACCUAGGACUGAUCUGAGAAAGAAAACAUGGGAUGCCAUACGGUAUCUUAAAUUCCAAGAUGAUUUACCUUGGCUUUGUGUCGGUGACUUCAACGAAAUUUUGUGUAGAUCGGAACAACUUGGCGGUAACCCAAGGAACUUCUCUCAAAUGCAAGACUUCUCUGAGUGCCUAACCGACUGCGGUUUGGCUGACCUCGGCUUCUCGGGCUACCAGUUCACAUAG